This 121-nucleotide ribosomal RNA is filed under the name Schistocephalus solidus. Lineage: Eukaryota; Metazoa; Platyhelminthes; Cestoda; Diphyllobothriidea; Diphyllobothriidae. The record is from RNAcentral.
CUUUGCGCUAAAUUCCACGUAGAAAACACCGGUUCUCGUUCGAUCACCAAAGUUAAGCUACGUUGGGCCCGGUUAGUACCUGCAUGGGUGACCGGCUGGGGGAUACCGAGUGCUGCUGACA